UGGCGGACGGGUGAGUAACGCGUAGGGAUCUAUCCUUGGGUGGGGGGACAACCGUGGGAAACUACGGCUAAUACCGCAUGACGACUGAGGUUCAAAGCUUGUGAGAGCGCCUGGGGAGGAGCCUGCGUACGAUUAGCUAGUUGGUGGGGUAAAGGCCUACCAAGGCGACGAUCGUUAGCUGGUCUGAGAGGAUGAUCAGCCACAUUGGGACUGAGACACGGCCCAA
This 226-nucleotide ribosomal RNA is filed under the name uncultured bacterium. RNAcentral describes it as "partial 16S ribosomal RNA". It matches the Rfam family "Bacterial small subunit ribosomal RNA", at positions 96 to 334 of the family's 1533-position model. The record is from RNAcentral.